AUUACACAGCUCUGCAGGUUGUUAUUUGGACGUUGCGGAGGAGAACGCGAAGCUAAGAAGGGUAAUUAGUCACCCAGGGGCAAGUCUGAUGACGUUGUUAAGUGAUUCUUUACUCAUUAAUUUUCGCCCUCUCGCUUCGGGGCGAAAACCUACCGUUUCAACUGUAUUGCUCUCAGUCGCUGCGGGUACUGCGUACGUGAUAAUUUCGGACAACGUCUGCGUUCUUCGGAGCAAGGUGGAGUUUUGGGCGGCGGGAAAUGUCGGAAGUCCCAAGCCGCCACCGACGGGUCGACCAAGUAUUUGCUGAACGCCAACAUCGAUCCUACAGGGACCGCCGUAAGCCGAUUUCCAUUCGAGAAGGCGGAAGGUUACGCGUCCUCUAAGGACCGUCGUCCAGGUUCAACCUGCUGAACCUCCUCUCGAGUGGCACAUGCAUGCACGCGUCUUACACGUGUAAAGUCCUCGUAUGUGUGGGCAUAUUCGUAGCCUCCAGAGUCAGGCUCCAGCUCCUCGGAUGUCUACGAGCUUACAAAUGGCUUGUGGUACCGACACCCUAAUUUAACUUCAACUCCACUCCUUCGCGACACUUUACGGCUCGUAAAGUUGGCCCUGGUGACCGAUGAAGACCGCAACCAUGACGCGGAUGUUUUACUUCUGAUCAAGAUACUGCGGUAAACUUAAUGCUCGACGAUUUCGGUUGAUCAAGGAUUGAGAAAAAAUAAUGUAUAUAUACAUGUGCACGGGAUGUCCCAAUUUAAAAAACGCAUUGCGGUUUCAACCGACCGAAUGGUUCAAUUGGAA
Molecule: long non-coding RNA, 801 nt
Organism: Neodiprion fabricii
Lineage: Eukaryota; Metazoa; Arthropoda; Insecta; Hymenoptera; Diprionidae
Exons: 3
Source: RefSeq, a predicted model, not a curated record